AUCCAGUUGACGAUUUCCAAAUAGGACGAAACGCGUGUCCUGGAU
Molecule: non-coding RNA, 45 nt
Filed under: Schistosoma mansoni
Lineage: Eukaryota; Metazoa; Platyhelminthes; Trematoda; Strigeidida; Schistosomatidae
Source: RNAcentral